GGAAAAACGGGCUAAAUUGUUAUUUUUUUACAAUUAAUUUUCCUUAUUCCAUGUGCUGCAGGGAAUAUUUCAUAGACGCUUAUUUCAUUCAAAUGUCAACAGCAACCGGUACCCAAGGACGCCAAGACCAUCAUUAUGAAUCAAGAGUCUGAAAUAUACAACAUCCUGCAACGUAUGCCUGCUAGGGAUAGUGGCAAUGUUUCUAUGUAGAGAUGUGGCAUUGUCGGUUUGGUGGCAGAGAUUAAAAACGAAUUAAGAGAAGCCAAAGUUGCUUUGGUUACUGCCCGUCGAGAGCUCCUUCGCCAACUCAUUCAAAUGGAAACUGAAAUGUAUCAAAGAGAAUUACUUGCCAUGGGAUUGGCUAUAUGACACUCAAAUUGACCAUCAAAUAUAACCAAUUGAUAGCAAACGAAAUAAUAACCUAUUAACUCCAAAUGGGUAGAAAAAUACUACAAGCAUAGAGUUGUCCUAAAAAAGUUAUAGUAAUAUA
Molecule: long non-coding RNA, 490 nt
Organism: Stomoxys calcitrans (stable fly)
Lineage: Eukaryota; Metazoa; Arthropoda; Insecta; Diptera; Muscidae
Exons: 2
Source: RefSeq, a predicted model, not a curated record